ACCCGCACAAGCGGUGGAUGAUGUGGAUAAUUCGAUGCAACGCGAAAACCUUACCUACCCUUGACAUGUCCGGAAUCCCGAAGAGAUUUGGGAGUGCUCGCAAGAGAACCGGAACACAGGUGCUGCAUGGCUGUCGUCAGCUCGUGUCGUGAGAUGUUGGGUUAAGUCCCGCAACGAGCGCAACCCUUGUCAUUAGUUGCCAUCAUUUGGUUGGGCACUCUAAUGAGACUGCCGGUGACAAACCGGAGGAAGGUGGGGAUGACGUCAAGUCCUCAUGGCCCUUAUGGGUAGGGCUUCACACGUCAUACAAUGGUCGGUACAGAGGGUUGCCAACCCGCGAGGGGGAGCUAAUCCCACAAAGCCGAUCGUAGUCCGGAUCGCAGUCUGCAACUCGACUGCGUGAAGUCGGAAUCGCUAGUAAUCGUGGAUCAGCAUGUCACGGUGAAUACGUUCCCGGGUCUU
This 462-nucleotide ribosomal RNA is filed under the name uncultured Rhodocyclaceae bacterium. Its description in RNAcentral is "bacterial SSU rRNA". It matches the Rfam family "Bacterial small subunit ribosomal RNA", at positions 919 to 1382 of the family's 1533-position model. The record is from RNAcentral. Lineage: Bacteria; Pseudomonadati; Pseudomonadota; Betaproteobacteria; Rhodocyclales; Rhodocyclaceae.